Molecule: long non-coding RNA, 8627 nt
Filed under: Vitis vinifera (wine grape)
Lineage: Eukaryota; Viridiplantae; Streptophyta; Magnoliopsida; Vitales; Vitaceae
Description: long non-coding RNA (VVIN_LNC001618)
Source: RNAcentral
UUCGGCUUUUGGCAAAUUCAAAUCUCAGGAUAAGCUUGCUGUGGAGAUGGACAAAAUAUAUGCCAAGAUCCAAAACCUCUCUAUCCACCGGCCAACAGCAGUCAACCCACAAGGUCAAAGUAGGAACCCAAAGUCUACCUUGGGUUCUACCGCCCGAAUCCCACGACAGCCAACAACGCAAGAACCUGAUCUCGCCAGCUUUGGUGAUGAUGUUCAUGCAAUGAUAGCACGGUUGCUUACAGAUGAUGAGAGUUUCACAGUGAUUCCAAUUAUGGGUAUGCAAGGCAUUGGAAAGACAACCCUAGCAAAUUUGAUCUUCAACCAUAAAGCUGUUGUGGAUCAUUUCCCCAUUGCUCUUAGGAAGUCAGAUGGCUGUCGAGUUCAGCUUCGUAACAAGGAAGAAUUGAUGGAGUCCGAUCUAAGUCAAUUGGGAGAUGUGUGGAGUUAUGAUGACGAGAUGCAACGGCUGAAAGCUUUCUUGAUUAAUAACAGGUCUCUCACAGUUCUAGAUGAUUCGCAUCUCUUGUACGACAUGCUAGAAGUGCUUCCAGAUACAUUAAAUGGCAGUAGAAUGAUUUUGACUACUUGCGAAACAAUCCUACCUCCAAAUCUCAAAAUGAAGAGUGAUCCUCACCCACUGCGGUUACGGACAGAUGAGGAGAGUUGGGCAUUGUUUACCCAUGCCUUGAAAUUUAGCAUACCCCCAGAAUUGCUAAAGCUGAAAGACGAAAUUGCAAAAAGAUGUGGGGGGCUGCCACUGCUGAUUGUAAAAUUGGCAGAAGCACUCUCACACAAGGAUGCAACCCUUGAGGAGUGGUCCACUGCACUUCAACAAUUUCAUCAUGACCAACAGCAACUUUGGCCCAGUACCCUCUACAAGAUCCAUAAGGAUUUGUCCAUGUACAUGAGGAGAUGUCUAUUUUAUUUCACUCUAUUUCCUCAAGAUUUUGAUAUUCCGGCAAGAAGAUUGAUAACAUUGUGGGUUGCAGAGGACUUGGUACAGCCAGAGGGCGAGAAUGAAACUCCAGAAGAUGUUGCAGAAAGGUGUUUGAAUUUGUUGAUAGCCCAGGGAAUGGUUCAAGUGACAAAGAAGAAGCUUAAUGGGAAUGUUAAAAUGGUGCGACUGCCGGAUGCCCUAAGACAAUAUUGGUCAUCCAAAGCUCAACAAGCCACAUUUCUUGGAGUUCAUACUAACACAAGAUCUGAGUUGUCCCUAGGCACCAAUAAGAUCCGUCGUCUGGUUGAUCAUCUUGAUAAAGAAGAUAUUAGCUUUGAUCAUAUUCAUGGUAAUCACAACACAACUUCUAGUACUUCUUUGACACCUUACUACAAAGAUGCACUUUCUUUUCUGUCCUUUGAUACUAGAAAAGAAAGCAAACCAGGAGAAGAAGUGGGAAACUUUCUUCAUCAAAGCAUAUCCAGUGGUUGCUUCCUAGUACUGCUCGUGCUUGAUCUCGAAAAUGUAUUCAGACCAAAGUUACCUGAGGCAAUUGGCAAACUAACUCGACUAAGGUACCUUGGCUUAAGAUCUACAUUCCUCAAGAUACUUCCAUCAUCUAUAAGCAAGUUGCAGAAUGUUCAAACACUGGACAUGAAGCAUACUUGCAUCAACACUCUUCCUUGUUCAAUCUGGAAGCUACAACAAUUGCGACACUUACACUUGAGUGAGAGUUGUCGAAGUAAACUUAUGCUUCGACAUGAUACAAAUUUUCCUACAAUCCUCCAAACAUUGUGUGGGCUUCUUGUAGAUGAGAAGACUCCCGUAAGAGAUGGCCUAGACAGGUUACUCGAUAUUAGGAAAUUGGGAUUGACAGUAUCAUCUAAACAAGAGGCAAUAACAUUGCAACUGCAGGCAGUAGUUGACUGGGUUCUAAAACUGAACCAACUCCGGUCUUUAAGGCUCAAAUCUAUUGAUGAAAGCAAUCAGCCAUGGGAUCUAGAGUUGAAGCCUUUAGUAAGCCUUGUGAAUCUUUCUUACAUUUACUUGCUCGGACGGUUAAAGAAUCCAUCCAUUAUGUCCCAAUUCCCAUACAGCCUCAUCGACCUCACCUUAUCAGGGUCAGGACUUGUAGAAGAUCCAAUGCAGUCACUGGAUAAGCUUCCCAACCUUAGAAGUCUUAAAUUGCUUGCCAAAUCUUAUUUAGGGAAGAACAUGCUUUGCUCUUUAGGAGGCUUUCCUCAGCUUCGAGUUCUUAAACUAUGGAAGUUAGAGCAACUGGAGGAAUGGAAUGUAGAGAAAGGAGCACUACAAGCUCUUCGAGAUUUGGAGAUUAGGUUCUGCAGAAGCCUGAAAAUUCUUCCUGCAGAAUUGCUGCAUAGAACUCUCUUGAAAAUUGAAAUUAUAUCUGCCCAGUAAGUUGACUACUUCAUCUCUUGAAAUUUGGUUUAUAACCUACUUUAACAUGAGAUGAUUGUUUUGUUUAACAAACAACCUGAUAUGCCAUUGUGUUUUCUUUCUUUCUUUUUUUUUUUGUUUGAUUAGGGUGUGAGAAGGUAAGCGAGAAGGUUCUGGUCUACUUCUUCGUGUUGGGCUUUGCUUUCCAUUUCAAUGUUUUUGCUGUUGGAGCAGAUAUUCAAAUACUCAUGAGGGCAGUUCUCAGCUGCAACAAUUUAUAGAGCUCAUUUUUUUGAAUUGGGUUUCCACCCCUUCUGCUCAUUAUUCUGUUCUACCAUUGAUGCUAUGUUCUUGUCUUUCAAACCUUAAAUGCAUAUUGUAUUGUACUUGUUAGUAGAUUCUAUAACUAGUGUUUGUGAACUGUAGAAUCAGGGCAUCAUGAACACAAUGGUGUUGUGGGUGUGAAUGUUAUAGAAUUUUGCUUUGUGAUUGUAUUUGGAUUGAAUAGAGUUUUUUUUUUCUUUCAGUUGAUGUUUGUUGGAUAGAAUUUAACCAGUCUGCUGGAAUGCACAUAGGGAGAAAAUAACUAUUCUCUUCUUGCCCAGAUGGAUGAAGGAGAGUAAGAUUAAUCCUCCACCUUUCUGUAGCUUAUUUUGUAAGUGUAUUAGGUUCAAAGUCUUCAAAUACGUUAUAUUAAUAUAUCAAAGUAAUACUCUGUUGCUCACAAGCUCAGAUCCGAGCCCACCAUGGCUUGCAUGGCCUCUUACAUGCUCUGCCCAUUCCAAUAGUUAGUCCAUUUAGUCCAAAUACAAUCUCAAAGCUUACACCCUUUCCUUUUUUUCAAUUUAGAAGAGCCUACCACUACAGAUUUGGAUAUUGGAUCGUACAAUAUAAUAAUGGAGCAAUAGUUACAACACCCAUUUGAAAUGGGAUUCAUCCACCUCCAAACCAAAGUUGCUGGUUAUUGAAGGAGAAGAACAGAGAGUUUCUCUAACAACCUCCAUCCAAUGCUUCCUGACAUAAGAUAUCUAUCUCUGUGCUGCUUCCUUAAUUUGAACCUGUUACAGUCCAUCUGCUUUUUCUUUUUCUUCUUUUGGUGUGGUCAGUGUGGGUUCUGGAAAUGAACAGCAGAGCUUUCACCCAAUUAAUACAUUUAGCUUGUGGUUUGGGUAUUUGAAACAGGGCAAUUUACAGAAUCCAAACCCAGUUGAAUGUAAAGCCAGGAAGUUGCUGCCAGACAAUAUGUUGUAUCUUCUGGUCAUGUGCCCUUUCAUGCUUCCUGCUGGUACAGGACAGAUCUGAUUUCAGGACAGAUUCGCCAAGGCCAUACAGUUUUUUAAGCACAACAAGGGCAUAGAAGGAAGAAGGCUUGCCAAAGGUUACGUACCCAUCAGUACUGAAGUUCUAACUCUGCAAGUGAAAGGAGACAAAAGCAAGCAUGUGCUAUUCGAUGCCUGUAGGCUUGCUAAGUCCCUACAACUCCUGGGGACAUAUGAGAAAUGGAGUCCAGAACAGAAAGGGCAUAUGAUAUGUGAUGUGUGGGUGGAGAUGCUGUGUUAUGCUGCAAGUCAGUGUCGAUGGAAUCUCCAUGCCAACUUGCCAAGCAGUUGAGACGAGGGGGAGAGCUGCUCACCCAUGUAUGGCUUCUGAUGGCUCCUUUUGUUAUAAGUGAACAUUUCAAGAUUUUACAAGCCCAUGACAACUGAUGAGAAUUUUUUCAAAUAUUAUUUUAAAAAAGGUUUUUUUUAAAAAAAAAGCAAAAAAAGAAAACAUAAAAAUAUACAUUUUAUUAGCCAUUUUGUUUUUACAUUGAACUUAUACUUUGAAAAGACAAGUUAAUUUUUUACAUUGAAUCUGGUCUUUUCAAAUGACAGUUCCAUGUUAAAUCCUAAAUUAAUUACUCUGACUAAAAUUGUACUAUCAAGUUUUACAAUGAAUACCUUUAUAAAUAUGCAUUAUCGAUCAACUUAAUAAAUUAACAAUUUUAAAUAAAUUCAUAUUUUUAAUAUGAUAUUGAAACUUAGUGAUGGUAUAUCCCUCUAAUUUUAUUAAAUUUAUGUAUAAUCUCAAAUGAAGUAUCAGUAAAGCCUAGUAUUAGGGUUUUAACAUAGGUUAAGAACAGACUGAGUGAUGGUGUAUCUAUUCCCUUGUUUAGCCAACCUUACUUUUUAUUACGCUUUAAUAUCUUAGCAUUGUAGUGUAGCAAAUACUAAUGAAAUUCAAAUACAGAAAAAUAUUUCAAAUUCAAUUGGAAUAUUUAAAAAAGACAGUAUUUUGUCAAAAUUCCAGCUUUCUAGGCCUAUCCCCUUGUCCAUUGGCCUUAUCCUUCAAUUAUUAUUAUUAUUUUUUCACAUGGAUUUACAACCUUAGGUGGUAGUGCUACAAAGCUUUCCAAAGGCAUCAAAUGUACAAUCUUAUCUUCUAUUGUCAAGCUGAUUAGAAACACAUCAGCUGAAGUAUAGCUGCUUAAUUAUGGUCUGAACUGAUUUUCUCGAGGAUAUGUACAAGUUGGGUUCUACAUUCCCCAAAGAUCUCUGUUUUGCAUGAGCUUGAAAAUUGAACACUCUUGUUCUUUAAAAAAUGAUUUAUUUAGUUUUGAAAUUUAUAUCCUCCUUUAUUUCCUUCAAAAAUGUUGUUUCUCUCCCAUUCCUAAUCCAUCUCUCUCUCUCUCUCUCUCUCUCUCUCUCUCUCUCUCUCUCUCUCUCUCUCUCUCUCUCUCUCUCUCUCUCUCUCUCUCUCUCUCUCUCUCUCUCUCUCUCUCUCUCUCUCUCUCUCUCUCUCUCAGUUCAUGUUCUCUCUCCCUUCUCAAUCCAACCCCUACAACAAAAAUGUCAAAUUCCUUAUUUUUAUAUCUUCUUCAAGAGAUAAAAAUUUUGAUAAUGAAAUUUCAUGGAUAAAAACUCUCAUCCCUCACAUAUUUCACAAAUAAUUUGGUUGUUGGAAAUAUUUAAUUUUUAUGCUAAAUUUCUUCCUUUUUUUUGUUGCAUCUUCUACUUUUUCUAUUUAUAAAUUUCUUGUAUUACAUAGUUUACUAUUUGAGUUUCAAAUUAUUUUUAAAACCUAUUAAACUCGUUAAUGAAUCAAACACAUUAAAACUUUUUAUUUGGAGUUUUUUUGCCUUAGUAAAAAGAAAUUUACAAAAAUAUCUUUAUACAUAAGGAAAAAACUAACAAAAUACCUUUAGGAUCCAUGACUUUCUAAUACUAACUGAAUUAGUUUGUUAGUUUAAUAAAUGUUAUGUAUCAAAUAUCACUAGAUUUGAAAUUUAUUUGUUUAAUCAAAAUAAUUUAAAGAUUCAAGUUAUAAGAAGUUCACAAAUCAUGUAAAUUUAAGAAAAUAAAUCAUCAUUGAAAAUUUUUUAUAUUUGUUGAUGGAGAGAGAAUAAAUAUAAAAUGAAAUCAUGUCAUAAUUUAUUUGUUUUUGUGAUUCUUUUCAUGCUAUUUUUCAUUUCUCAUAUUUUUCUUUAAAAAAAAAAGGUAAAAAUAACUUUUAUUUAAUCUCUCAAAUUGUUCUUUAUUUCACUUUAUUUUAAAAAAAUUACUUUUAAAGAACAACUUCCAAACGACUCAUACAUUGUUAACAACAAAAAAUUGUUUUUAAAUCAUAUCAUCAACCGAGCUAUUAUAUGUUCCCUUUUUUUUUCUUGUACUUCACCUUCUUAAUUUGAUUAUGGUUAUAUUUAAAUUGAAUCAAAAUAUGCAAUAAAUAAAAUAUAAGAGCAUUAAACAAAGUAAAAUGAUCAAAUGAUGAAAAUAAAAUUAAGAAAAAGGAAAACCAAAAAUAAAAAUAAAAUAAUAAUGGUAAUAAUAAAAAAAAAUGUAUAUGCACAAAAACAAAAUUAGAAGUCUACAUUCUCCUCCAGUCAACCCAUGAAAAAACACACAAUGCAAGGAUCAAGGAUCUAUUGCUACAUCAAUAUUAACUAAUUGUUAAUAAAUGAAAAUUGAUAACCAUCAAACCAUGAUAAAAUUAACUUAUACCUUUAUAUACAUCAUCAAUCCACCUAAUAAAUUAACAAUUUUAAAUAAACUGACAUUUUUAGUAUGAGAUUCAAAUAUAUAAAAAUAUUUCAACUUCAAUUAGAAUAUUUUUAAAAAAUAAUAAUAAAAAUUAAAAAAUUAAAAAAAAAAAAAAACACCUUCUCCAUAUAAUUGUACAUAGCUCUAGUAUCUAAUGUUUACCUCUUCAACAAGGUGUUUUGAGUUUUAUACAGAGGAUUACAUAUACUGCACCAGCUUCUUUAAUGUCCAAGAAACUCACUACCCAUUUCCCACCUUCUCUCUCUCAUGUGGAAACAAAGCCUUUCGACAUUGAAGACAUUUGUUUAUUUAAGUUGACUCCCUUGUGUUACAAGUCUUUCAAAAAGAACUAGCCUACCAGUGUUCCUCUUAGAAAAAUGGUGGAAGCAGUCCAUUGUCUCUCACAGACAAAAAGAAAAAGAAAAAGAAACUGAUGGUAUUGGGUGAUCAAUAUGUGGUGGUCACUGUAAGUUGGCUUUCAGAGGAAAAUACAUAUAUAAAAAGAGAGGAAAGGAGAAAAGACGUCAAGGGGGAAUGUUCAUAGAAAGAGAAGAUGAAGGUGGUGAGUAUGAAUUGGGUUGGAAAUUAAAAAUAAAAAUGAGUAUUUAAAGUGAAUAGGAAGGACAAAAUGAUCAGGGAAAGACUUAGUUUUACUUGUUAGUUCCCAGAUUUCCUUGCAAUUGUGAGUUUGUUACUAAGGCCGCCUCCACUCAGUCCUUUGCUGUUCGCGGCCGGCUUCAUCUUGGCAGUAUGAAAUGGCUAUUGAGUUUCGUUGGGGGCAUGGUCGCCUACAGCUUCCUGUAAGAACAAUUAAAAUUUGAUCAAGUCUGCAAUAUCAUCUCCCCUUUUGUGAUCCUCCUAAUAUGACUGAUUAUUAAAUAUUUAUGCGUUAAUAAUUAUUUCGGGAGUUGUUUACUUUUAUUCAUCAUCCUCCAGCAUUAUAUUGAUAUUUUGCCCGAGUUUUUUCUUCUUCUUUUUUUCCUUUGUUUAGUUUAUAUGUUCUUGUUCGGAUUGAAAAGAAAAAUCCACACGUCGUGAUAAUUAUUAAGAUAUGUUUAAUUAAGAUUUGUGUGAAAGCCUUUCUGUUCCGUUGCCCGCAGAAAAAUGCUGCAUGAAUACUCUAGUAGGAAGGAAAGGGAGGAGGCGUGGAGGAUGAUGGCAAAGGGUAGAAAUGAAGAAGCUAAGGAGAUGAGGCAUAGAAACUCUACGAUGAAGAUGAACGACAAACCAGCCAGGAACACUAUAGAUUGGGCGGAGGUAGAUGACACAGAAGAUUUGGUGAAGAUAGUCUUGUCGAGGAUCAUAGAGAAACUCUGUGUUGUGUGUAUUCAAGAACCAGCAGUUUUCGUUGGAGUCGAAGAAGAGGUCCAAUGGAUCCAAAGAGAGUUGAUGGACUCUCGGGUAAAAUAUAGUUAUGCGCCAGAGCAAUUAAUGGAUGUUGCCUAUGAUUUUGAAGAUGUGAUUGAUGACCUUAUACUCAGAUCAGCCGCAAAUCAAAGGAGAAUAGGAAACUGGGAGAGGUGCCUUUUGGUAAUAAGAAUUCACAAGAAGCUGGAAUUGAUCAAGUCUAAGAUCCCUGAUCUUCCUCGUCUCCCAUAUAUCGAAGCAAAAGCUGCCUGCCCCUUUAACUACAGUAUUGAAGAAAUAGUCUGGUCAGACAUCUUCUUGAUACAUGGUCAGAGUGUGGCAAACACGGUUGUUUCCCCAGUGGAAGAGAAGGUAUCAGCUCUGCUAGCUCAGGAGGCAAUUCAUCCCUAUACCAAGAAGAAGGCCAUGCGGGUACUAGACAAACUCAGGUCUCUGAAUGGUUUUCUCAAAGGCUUAGAAUCAGUAGAAUUAGAUGAUGGUGGAAUGGUUUGGAUGGAGGAGCUGUCCCAUGUUUGCCUGUCUGCUGUGGUAGCCAUUGAGGACUUCAUCAACAGAACACAACAGCUCACGAAAAGAAGUUGGAUGGGACCUUGCAAGGGAUUUCUUUCGGCUUUUGGCAAAUUCAAAUCUCAGGAUAAGCUUGCUGUGGAGAUGGACAAAAUAUAUGCCAAGAUCCAAAACCUCUCUAUCCACCGGCCAACAGCAGUCAACCCACAAGGUCAACGUAGGAACCUAAAGUAUACCUUGGGUUCCGCCGAGCGAAUCCCACGGCAGCCAACAACGCAAGAACCUGAUCUCGCCAGCUUUGGUGAUGAUGUGCAUGCAAUGAUAGCACGGUUGCUUACAGAUGAUCAGAAUUUCAGAGUGAUUCCAAUUAUGGGUAUGCAAGGCAUUGGAAAGACAAC